UACGUAGGGUGCAAGCGUUGUCCGGAUUUAUUGGGCGUAAAGAGCUCGUAGGCGGUUUGUCGCGUCGGAUGUGAAAACCCAGGGCUCAACCCUGGGCCUGCAUUCGAUACGGGCAAACUAGAGUAUGGCAGGGGAGAAUGGAAUUCCCGGUGUAGCGGUGAAAUGCGCAGAUAUCGGGAGGAACACCGGUGGCGAAGGCGGUUCUCUGGGCCUUACCUGACGCUGAGGAGCGAAAGCGUGGGGAGCGAACAGG
Molecule: ribosomal RNA, 253 nt
Filed under: uncultured bacterium
Lineage: Bacteria
Description: partial 16S ribosomal RNA
Rfam family: Bacterial small subunit ribosomal RNA
Source: RNAcentral